Long non-coding RNA from Mytilus californianus (California mussel), 933 nucleotides. RefSeq lists it as uncharacterized. Lineage: Eukaryota; Metazoa; Mollusca; Bivalvia; Mytilida; Mytilidae. The transcript is spliced from 2 exons. The record is from RefSeq and is a predicted model, not a curated record.
AAAGUUUUUGAGUUAUCCUUCUUUGAGUGUUACCUGGAUUUAAAUCUUAGUGAUUUAUAAAUAGAACAAAAGUAAUCAAGUUUGACAAACAGGUAAUGUGAAGGUGAGAAACUGGUUAGGCAGGUUAAUUUAGAAACACUAGUCUUGAGAUAAGGUGUUGUCAGUAUAACACCUGGACAGUGUUGAAGUCAGAUGUUGAAAACUGACUGGAACUUGGAGUUGGAGUUUGACUAUUGUCAGGGCAGAUAUUAUAUCAGGAAUGAUCAGUUCAGGAGAAUUCAUUAAUAUUUUGUCCAUCAGGACAAUAAAGAACUCCCAGGGGACUUGUUGAGUUAUGGAAGUAUUUUAGAUCAUUAAAAGAAAGGAGUGAUAAGUAAAAUGAGACAAUUUCCUAUAUAUAAAGUUGAAUCUCAGAUGAGGAUAAAUAUAUACUGUGUGUAUGGUUAACAUUUGAUAGUUUAAAUGGAACAGAUAGUUUUCAAGUAUUAAGUAUUACAACAACCUGAAUAUCUGUGUGGUUAAAUAGUCCGUCAGUGAAUUUGUUUCGGGACAAUUACAAUUUAAAACAUAGCAGAAACUUGUUUGACAGUUUGUCCCAGAGACUGAAGUAUUUAACGUUAUGUUGUCAAAGUAUUGGUUUUUCAAUAUUUGUCAAGUUGACAGACAGUAAAUUUGAACAGUAUAGUAAUUCGGAUCAAACGAGAACAACCUUUGAGAUUUCUGGAUUGAUAUAGACUUGUGAUUUAUGGACUGUGAUGGACUAAUUUAUUUAUUUACUUUUAAUUUUAACUUUUAGUUAAGUGUAUUUAGUUCCGUGUAUUUGUCAUUGUCUAUGUGAGAUAGAAGAGAGGUCGUGGAGAGGUUGUUUCAUAUGUGUAUAUUUAUGUUUUGUGUUUGUCUUGUGGUUGUGGUAUUAUUAAAUGCAAAUUUUUA